Molecule: ribosomal RNA, 439 nt
Filed under: Pseudomonas putida
Lineage: Bacteria; Pseudomonadati; Pseudomonadota; Gammaproteobacteria; Pseudomonadales; Pseudomonadaceae
Description: bacterial SSU rRNA
Rfam family: Bacterial small subunit ribosomal RNA
Source: RNAcentral
UUGUCCUUAGUUACCAGCACGUUAUGGUGGGCACUCUAAGGAGACUGCCGGUGACAAACCGGAGGAAGGUGGGGAUGACGUCAAGUCAUCAUGGCCCUUACGGCCUGGGCUACACACGUGCUACAAUGGUCGGUACAGAGGGUUGCCAAGCCGCGAGGUGGAGCUAAUCUCACAAAACCGAUCGUAGUCCGGAUCGCAGUCUGCAACUCGACUGCGUGAAGUCGGAAUCGCUAGUAAUCGCGAAUCAGAAUGUCGCGGUGAAUACGUUCCCGGGCCUUGUACACACCGCCCGUCACACCAUGGGAGUGGGUUGCACCAGAAGUAGCUAGUCUAACCUUCGGGGGGACGGUUACCACGGUGUGAUUCAUGACUGGGGUGAAGUCGUAACAAGGUAGCCGUAGGGGAACCUGCGGCUGGAUCACCUCCUUAAUCGACGACA